RNAcentral lists this non-coding RNA (46 nucleotides) under unclassified sequences. RNAcentral describes it as "SAM-SAH-Weickhmann-2018 RNA". It matches the Rfam family "SAM/SAH riboswitch aptamer". The record is from RNAcentral.
CUGCCACAACGGCUUCCUGGCGUGGCAGAUAUACCCAACCGGAGCA